RNAcentral lists this unclassified non-coding RNA (317 nucleotides) under Hevea brasiliensis (rubber tree). Lineage: Eukaryota; Viridiplantae; Streptophyta; Magnoliopsida; Malpighiales; Euphorbiaceae. The record is from RNAcentral.
UUCUUGUCUAUGAGAGGCUUCACAUUCACUAUGUCCUUAGCUGUUUCCUUGGCCCUUGCACUAUGUCCUUAGCUGAUUCCUUGGCCGUUGCUGCUGCCCUAGCAGGUUCAAGUGGCUGCAGGAAAAACCUCUCCUUCAAUGACAGCUCCAAGUCUCUUGGCUAUCAGAAUUUAAAGUCCCAGCUGCCAAUGCACAAAUUUUAGCCAUUAUAGCCGGAAAUUUCGUCCAAUAUCCAUAUAGGAAUAAACAACUUGUCUACACGCAGCAAGAAGAGGAAAUAGUGAUGAACUUACGCAGUCCACCGGAGGGAGGGGGAG